GUCGACCGCCUGGGGAGUACGGCCGCAAGGUUAAAACUCAAAUGAAUUGACGGGGGCCCGCACAAGCGGUGGAGCAUGUGGUUUAAUUCGAUGCAACGCGAAGAACCUUACCUACUCUUGACAUCCAGAGAACUUAGCAGAGAUGCUUUGGUGCCUUCGGGAACUCUGAGACAGGUGCUGCAUGGCUGUCGUCAGCUCGUGUUGUGAAAUGUUGGGUUAAGUCCCGCAACGAGCGCAACCCUUAUCCUUUGUUGCCAGCGAUUCGGUCGGGAACUCAAAGGAGACUGCCAGUGAUAAACUGGAGGAAGGUGGGGAUGACGUCAAGUCAUCAUGGCCCUUACGAGUAGGGCUACACACGUGCUACAAUGGCAUAUACAAAGAGAAGCGACCUCGCGAGAGCAAGCGGACCUCAUAAAGUAUGUCGUAGUCCGGAUUGGAGUCUGCAACUCGACUCCAUGAAGUCGGAAUCGCUAGUAAUCGUGGAUCAGAAUGCCACGGUGAAUACGUUCCCGGGCCUUGUACACACCGCCCGUCACACCAUGGGAGUGGGUUGCAAAAGAAGUAGGUAGCUUAACCUUCGGGAGGGC
This 587-nucleotide ribosomal RNA is filed under the name Citrobacter freundii. RNAcentral's name for it is "bacterial SSU rRNA". It matches the Rfam family "Bacterial small subunit ribosomal RNA", at positions 864 to 1451 of the family's 1533-position model. RNAcentral also lists the same sequence under 1 other name. The record is from RNAcentral. Lineage: Bacteria; Pseudomonadati; Pseudomonadota; Gammaproteobacteria; Enterobacterales; Enterobacteriaceae.